AACGCGAAGAACCUUACCUACCCUUGACAUGGAAGGAAUCCCGAAGAGAUUUGGGAGUGCUCGAAAGAGAACCUUUACACAGGUGCUGCAUGGCUGUCGUCAGCUCGUGUCGUGAAAUGUUGGGUUAAGUCCCGCAACGAGCGCAACCCUUGUCAUUAGUUGCUACGAAAGGGCACUCUAAUGAGACUGCCGGUGACAAACCGGAGGAAGGUGGGGAUGACGUCAAGUCCUCAUGGCCCUUAUGGGUAGGGCUUCACACGUCAUACAAUGGUCGGAACAGAGGGUCGCCAACCCGCGAGGGGGAGCUAAUCCCAGAAAACCGAUCGUAGUCCGGAUCGCAGUCUGCAACUCGACUGCGUGAAGCUGGAAUCGCUAGUAAUCGCGGAUCAGCAUGCCGCGGUGAAUACGUUCCCGGGUCUUGUACACACGC
Molecule: ribosomal RNA, 430 nt
Filed under: uncultured bacterium
Lineage: Bacteria
Description: bacterial SSU rRNA
Rfam family: Bacterial small subunit ribosomal RNA
Source: RNAcentral